CAACAGGGCUGAGAUACAUGUCA
RNAcentral lists this non-coding RNA (23 nucleotides) under Cricetulus griseus (Chinese hamster). The record is from RNAcentral. Lineage: Eukaryota; Metazoa; Chordata; Mammalia; Rodentia; Cricetidae.